CCUUCUUGUAUUUGGAGCUCUGUGAAGCAAGAACGACAAUGCUUUGAUUACAACCUCGUAGGUAAACACUUUGCCAUUGACAUCAAGACGGCCGCUUAUUCAUCAAGGAAUCAGGAAAUGGAUUAAACCCUGCUCCCCAUCAAAAGCAAGUCAUCUGUCUUUAAGCAGCAAAACAACAUCUGGAGAAUGUCCAAUCUUCAUCCUCUUGGCUAAUUCUGAAGAAAAGGGGUAUCUUCUAAGAUGUGGUCAAUAUUCCACCCUCAACACAUGGUGGAAUCUUAUUAGAUGGUCAAAACUGCUACAAUUGAUUAUGUAAUUAAACAAGUACGAUGUAUUAAAGGAACGGUUGCUUAUA
Hypanus sabinus (Atlantic stingray) is the source of this 355-nucleotide long non-coding RNA. RefSeq lists it as uncharacterized. Lineage: Eukaryota; Metazoa; Chordata; Chondrichthyes; Myliobatiformes; Dasyatidae. The transcript is spliced from 2 exons. The record is from RefSeq and is a predicted model, not a curated record.